RNAcentral lists this ribosomal RNA (373 nucleotides) under uncultured organism. RNAcentral describes it as "partial 16S ribosomal RNA". It matches the Rfam family "Bacterial small subunit ribosomal RNA", at positions 527 to 896 of the family's 1533-position model. The record is from RNAcentral.
GUAGGUGGCAGGCGUUGUCCGGAAUUAUUGGGCGUAAAGCGCGCGCAGGUGGUUCUUUAAGUCUGAUGUGAAAGCCCCCGGCUCAACCGGGGAGGGUCAUUGGAAACUGGGGAACUUGAGUGCAGGAGAGGAAAGUGGAAUUCCACGUGUAGCGGUGAAAUGCGUAGAUAUGUGGAGGAACACCAGUGGCGAAGGCGACUUUCUGGCCUGUAACUGACACUGAGGCGCGAAAGCGUGGGGAGCAAACAGGGAUUAGACACCCUGGUAGUCCACGCCGUAAACGAUGAGUGCUAAGUGCUGGGGGGGUUUCCGCCCCCUCAGUGCUGCAGCUAACGCAUUAAGCACUCCGCCUGGGAGUACGGUCGCAAGACUG